AGUGAACGCUGGCGGUAGGCCUAACACAUGCAAGUCGAACGGCAGCACAGUAAGAGCUUGCUCUUACGGGUGGCGAGUGGCGGACGGGUGAGGAAUACAUCGGAAUCUACUUUUUCGUGGGGGAUAACGUAGGGAAACUUACGCUAAUACCGCAUACGACCUACGGGUGAAAGCAGGGGAUCUUCGGACCUUGCGCGAUUGAAUGAGCCGAUGUCGGAUUAGCUAGUUGGCGGGGUAAGGGCCCACCAAGGCGACGAUCCGUAGCUGGUCUGAGAGGAUGAUCAGCCACACUGGAACUGAGAAACGGUCCAGACUCCUACGGGAGGCAGCAGUGGGGAAUAUUGGACAAAGGGCGCAAGCCUGAUCCAGCCAUACCGCGUGGGUGAAGAAGGCCUUCGGGUUGUAAAGCCCUUUUGUUGGGAAAGAAAAGCAGCAGGUUAAUACCCCGCUGUUCUGACGGUACCCAAAGAAUAAGCACCGGCUAACUUCGUG
Molecule: ribosomal RNA, 492 nt
Filed under: uncultured bacterium
Lineage: Bacteria
Description: partial 16S ribosomal RNA
Rfam family: Bacterial small subunit ribosomal RNA
Source: RNAcentral